RNAcentral lists this ribosomal RNA (518 nucleotides) under Parnassius mnemosyne gigantea. Its description in RNAcentral is "partial 16S rRNA". It matches the Rfam family "Bacterial large subunit ribosomal RNA", at positions 1819 to 2600 of the family's 2925-position model. Lineage: Eukaryota; Metazoa; Arthropoda; Insecta; Lepidoptera; Papilionidae. The record is from RNAcentral.
GUCUUUUUGAAUUAAUAAUAUAAAGUCUAAUCUGCCCACUGAUAAUAAAUUAAAGGGCUGCAGUAUUUUGACUGUACAAAGGUAGCAUAAUCAUUAGUCUCUUAAUUGGUGACUUGUAUGAAAGAUUUGAUGAGAUAUAAACUGUCUCUUUAUAAUUUUUAGAAUUUAAUUUUUUAGUUAAAAAGCUAAAAUGUAUUUAAAAGACGAGAAGACCCUAUAGAGUUUAAUAUUUAUUAAUAUAUUAAAAAUUUUUUGUAUAUUUUAUAAUUUUAAUAUGAAUAAUUAUUUUGUUGGGGUGAUAGAAAAAUUAAAAUAACUUUUUUUAGAAUUUUACAUUGAUAAGUGAUUAAGUGAUCCGUAAUUUACGAUUAUAAGAAAAAAUUACCUUAGGGAUAACAGCGUAAUUUUUUUUUUUAGUUCAAAUAAGAAAAAAAGUUUGCGACCUCGAUGUUGGAUUAAGAUAAAAUUUAAAUGCAAAAGUUUAAAAUUUUGAUCUGUUCGAUCAUUAAAAUCUUACA